UUAAAUUGAAGAGUUUGAUCAUGGCUCAGAUUGAACGCUGGCGGCAGGCCUAACACAUGCAAGUCGAACGGUAACAGGAAGCAGCUUGCUGCUUCGCUGACGAGUGGCGGACGGGUGAGUAAUGUCUGGGAAACUGCCUGAUGGAGGGGGAUAACUACUGGAAACGGUAGCUAAUACCGCAUAACGUCGCAAGACCAAAGAGGGGGACCUUCGGGCCUCUUGCCAUCGGAUGUGCCCAGAUGGGAUUAGCUAGUAGGUGGGGUAACGGCUCACCUA
This 276-nucleotide ribosomal RNA is filed under the name Enterobacter hormaechei subsp. hoffmannii MRSN 11248. RNAcentral's name for it is "partial 16S ribosomal RNA". It matches the Rfam family "Bacterial small subunit ribosomal RNA", at positions 1 to 271 of the family's 1533-position model. Lineage: Bacteria; Pseudomonadati; Pseudomonadota; Gammaproteobacteria; Enterobacterales; Enterobacteriaceae. The record is from RNAcentral.